CCGACCCCCCGCGCCGGCAAAACCCGGACUGGAUCUGCUCCCCGGCCCACGGCCUCGAAAUCCGGGGCUUGCCAAGCGGUCGGCGGGCCGCGGGGCGCCGCUCCCCACCCGGCGCCGGUGGUUCCGUCUGGACCGGGCACCGCAGACUUUGGCGGGCCGGGUCGGACUGCGAAGGCAGCGAUUUGCCGCAAGUCGUUUAAAUGGUCUGUGCCGUGCGUGGCGCCCGCGCUCGAGCCUCUGAGAAAGCGGGGAAGGUGCACCAAUCCCAGACCGGGGGCAGUGGCUGGGUGAGUCACCAGGAGUCACCCAGGACGGCGGGACUCCGGAGACACUUCCAUGGCACGGCCUGCCAACCUGUCCGCCUCUGAGCGCGCCCCUCGGGGUCCUGCCCGAGGGGGACCCGCGUCCUGUGUGAAGUCCCCUCUCUCGGCUGUCAUUUCUGCAUUUCCAUCUGGAGCGCCUCCUUACCACGGCUGCAGUCCAGGAAGCUUUCUGCUCUCUCCAUUCGGUGUGUGCGCGGGCUGCCCGCUCUGCCGCGGCCUUCGAGAAACACACAGGAUUGGGGGUUCAAGACUGCUCGAGUUGGUAUUUUUUUAAAAAAUAUUAGUAGAAUUCCUGUCUACACUUUGAAGUCAGCUUGUUUUUUCUCUCAGGCCAGAGCCCACACACAUCUAUUUUCUGGCCCUAGAAAGACUGGCCUUGGUAUUGGGACCACGAAGUGAAGCCUAAGGUCCCAGAAGCGGUUUGGCCAGGCUGCACUGUGAGGGGUGAGAAGGGUCGAGAUGGGCACUGAAAGCAGCAUUAUCCAGGCACAUGCAGGCCACGGAAGACCAGCCUCAUGAAAUAGAAGACAUUUACUGGGAAGCGAAAUCAAAUGACCUAAUUCAUCAGGAAUCAAGAAAUGGCGGAAGCUACAGGCUCGUGACGCGUUGCACUCAUGCUAUGGGCUCAGAAGUCAAGAAAUUUCUCAUGAUGCCAAGCAAGUCGGUAGCAAUCGUUGCUGAAACGUAACACAUUUGUACUUCCAAACGGGGCACACUUGCCACCGAGAAGGAGGCGUGCCUGAUCCGUUCUUCUUUGUAUCCUGUGUGCUUUGGCCGCCUGGUUUGGGAAGUGUUGAGAACCAAGACUGGACUUUGGACUCUGGUACAAGUACCUGAAAUCCUACUCACCCUAAAGAAAAAGGAAGGGAAGGGAUUUAUCAGCUUCGGUAACUCAGACACAGAUGGGCCUGAGCUCGGGGAAAAUUAGAUCCAGGGCUCACGUGAUGUGUGGCCUUCUGUCUCUGAGUGUGUGUGUGUCAGUUGUUUCAUUAUGUGGUCAGUUAGAGCCAGGGCUAGAGACAGCCCUGGCCACACACCUGUCUGUCACCCUUGUGACCAGGGACAGGGGGUCCUUGACCUCCUGUAGCAGUUAAAGAAAUCUCAGAGAAGGACCCUGGCUGGUCCAGUCUGGAUCAUGAGCCCGCACCACUGGAAU
Long non-coding RNA from Rhinolophus ferrumequinum (greater horseshoe bat), 1479 nucleotides. RefSeq lists it as uncharacterized. The transcript is spliced from 4 exons. The record is from RefSeq and is a predicted model, not a curated record. Lineage: Eukaryota; Metazoa; Chordata; Mammalia; Chiroptera; Rhinolophidae.